This 440-nucleotide ribosomal RNA is filed under the name uncultured bacterium. RNAcentral's name for it is "partial 16S ribosomal RNA". It matches the Rfam family "Bacterial small subunit ribosomal RNA", at positions 338 to 795 of the family's 1533-position model. The record is from RNAcentral.
CCUACGGGUGGCUGCAGUGGGGGAUAUUGCACAAUGGGGGAAACCCUGAUGCAGCGACGCCGCGUGUGGGAAGACGGUCUUCUGGCUUGUAAACCACUGUCUCCAGGGACGAAAAUGACGGUACCUGGGGAGGAAGCUCCGGCAAACUACGUACCAGCAGCCGCGGUAAUACGUAGGGAGCAAGCGUUGUCCGGAAUUACUGGGUGUAAAGGGAGCGUAGGCGGGGAUGCAAGUGGGGUGUCAAAACUACCGGCUCAACCGAUAGUCGCCCUUAAAACUGCAACGCUUGAGUGAAGUAGAGGCAGGCGGAAUGCCUAGUGUAGCGGUGAAAUGCGUAGAUAUUAGGAGGAACACCAGUGGCGAAGGCGGCCUGCUGGGCUUUUACUGACGCUGAGGCUCGAAAGUGUGGGGAGCAAACAGGAUUAGAUACCCCAGUAGUC